Molecule: ribosomal RNA, 443 nt
Filed under: uncultured bacterium
Lineage: Bacteria
Description: partial 16S ribosomal RNA
Rfam family: Bacterial small subunit ribosomal RNA
Source: RNAcentral
CCUACGGGCGGCAGCAGUGGGGAAUAUUGGGCAAUGGGCGCAAGCCUGACCCAGCAACGCCGCGUGAAGGAAGAAGGCUUUCGGGUUGUAAACUUCUUUUCUGAGGGACGAAGAAAGUGACGGUACCUCAGGAAUAAGCCACGGCUAACUAGGUGCCAGCAGCCGCGGUAAUACGUAGGUGGGAAGCGUUAUGCGGAUUUAGUGGGUGUAAAGGGCGUGUAGGCGGGAAAGCAAGUCAGAUGUGAAAACUCAGGGCUCAACCCUGAGUCUGCAUUUGAAACUGUUUUUCUUGAGUGCGGGAGAGGCAAUCGGAAUUCUGUGUGUAGCGGUGAAAUGCGUAGAUAUACGGAGGAACACUAGUGGCGAAGGCGGAUUGCUGGACAGUAACUGACGCUGAGGCGCGAAAGCGUGGGGAGCAAACAGGAUUAGAUACCCGAGUAGUC